UACGUAGGGGGCGAGCGUUGUCCGGAUUUAUUGGGCGUAAAGAGCGCGCAGGCGGUCGUUCAAGUCGCGUGUGAAAGCCCCCGGCUCAACUGGGGAGGGUCACGCGAUACUGAUCGACUCGAAGGCAGGAGAGGGUAGUGGAAUUCCCGGUGUAGUGGUGAAAUGCGUAGAUAUCGGGAGGAACACCAGUGGCGAAGGCGGUUCUCUGGGCAUUACCUGACGCUGAGGAGCGAAAGCAUGGGGAGCGAACAGG
RNAcentral lists this ribosomal RNA (253 nucleotides) under uncultured bacterium. RNAcentral describes it as "partial 16S ribosomal RNA". It matches the Rfam family "Bacterial small subunit ribosomal RNA", at positions 524 to 776 of the family's 1533-position model. The record is from RNAcentral.